Molecule: ribosomal RNA, 521 nt
Filed under: uncultured bacterium
Lineage: Bacteria
Description: bacterial SSU rRNA
Rfam family: Bacterial small subunit ribosomal RNA
Source: RNAcentral
UCAGGACGAACGCUGGCGGCGUGCCUAAUACAUGCAAGUCGAACGGUCUUUCUAUGGAAGCUUGCUUCCACUGAGAAGAUAGUGGCGAACGGGUGAGUAACACGUGGGUAACCUGCCCAUAAGAGGGGGAUAACAUCCGGAAACGGGUGCUAAUACCGCAUAGUUUUCUUGAUCGCAUGAUUGAGAAAGGAAAGACGGCCUUUGUGCUGUCGCUUAUGGAUGGACCCGCGGCGUAUUAGUUAGUUGGUGAGGUAACGGCUCACCAAGACGAUGAUACGUAGCCGACCUGAGAGGGUGAUCGGCCACAUUGGGACUGAGACACGGCCCAAACUCCUACGGGAGGCAGCAGUAGGGAAUCUUCCGCAAUGGACGAAAGUCUGACGGAGCAACGCCGCGUGAGUGAAAGAAGGUUUUCGGAUCGUAAAACUCUGUUGCCAGAGAAGAACAAGUUGGAGAGUAACUGCUCCAGCCUUGACGGUAUCUGACCAGAAAGCCACGGCUAACUACGUGCCAGCCGCGGC